RNAcentral lists this ribosomal RNA (498 nucleotides) under Triticum aestivum (bread wheat). Its description in RNAcentral is "partial small subunit ribosomal RNA". The record is from RNAcentral. Lineage: Eukaryota; Viridiplantae; Streptophyta; Magnoliopsida; Poales; Poaceae.
AUGGCGGCUCCACCACCUUCCACCUUCAUCGACGACGACGAAGAUAUGGACGCCGUCGACCUGUCGCUGACACUCGCCCACACGCCGUGGCCGGCGUCACCGUCGUCUCCUCCGGCUGCUUCAUCAGGUGGUGGCAAUGGCAGUGGCAGUGACAACGGUGGUCGUGGUGGCGUGAGGCUGUUCCCCUGCCUGUUCUGCAACAAGAAGUUCCUCAAGUCGCAGGCGCUAGGGGGACACCAGAACGCACACAAGAAGGAGAGGAACAUCGGCUGGAACGCGCACCUCUACACCACCCCCAUCAACACCAACUCAGCCGCUGAUGCCAUGCCCAGUAACCACCAGACGAUGUACCCCAUCCAGGUCUCGCACUCCUGCCAGCACCAGGGGUACCCCCACCUCGCCGACGGCGGCUCGCCGGGGGGCAGCUGGUGGCGCGACCAGGACGGCGACAAGAAGCAGCAACAGCCGAGGAAGGUCGACCUUAACCUCAAGCUCUAG